This 492-nucleotide ribosomal RNA is filed under the name uncultured bacterium. RNAcentral describes it as "partial 16S ribosomal RNA". It matches the Rfam family "Bacterial small subunit ribosomal RNA", at positions 29 to 507 of the family's 1533-position model. The record is from RNAcentral.
AGUGAACGCUGGCGGUAGGCCUAACACAUGCAAGUCGAACGGCAGCACAGUAAGAGCUUGCUCUUACGGGUGGCGAGUGGCGGACGGGUGAGGAAUACAUCGGCAUCUACUUUUUCGUGGGGGAUAACGCAGGGAAACUUACGCUAAUACCGCAUACGACCUACGGGUGAAAGCAGGGGAUCUUCGGACCUUUCGCGAUUGAAUGAGCCGAUGUCGGAUUAGCUAGUUGGCGGGGUAAAGGCCCACCAAGGCGACGAUCCGUAGCUGGCCUGAGAGGAUGAUCAGCCACACUGGAACUGAGCCACGGUCCAGACUCCUACGGGAGGCAGCAGUGGGGAAUAUUGGACAAUGGGCGCACGCCUGAUCCAGCCAUACUGCGUGGGUGAAGAAGGCCUUCGGGUUGUAAAGCCCUUUUGUUGGGAAAGAAAAGCAGCAGGUUAAUACCCCGCUGUUCUGACGGUACCCAAAGAAUAAGCACCGGCUAACUUCGUG